AGAGGGAUUCGAACCCUCGAUAGUUCA
RNAcentral lists this transfer RNA (27 nucleotides) under Metroxylon sagu. RNAcentral describes it as "partial trnS". Lineage: Eukaryota; Viridiplantae; Streptophyta; Magnoliopsida; Arecales; Arecaceae. The record is from RNAcentral.